CGCCAUCCUAACAAGCGUGCAGCUGGGGCUUUGACUGGUGUUUCUCUGAUGAUUUCAGCGUCUUCAUGCACUUGUUGGCUUCUUGUAUUUUUGGCCUUCGCUUUUAUAGCUGAAUGCAGGUUGUGUCUCUGAGCAGAAAAAAGGCCGAUGUGUGGGUGGCAGGAAUGCUGCUGUCACCAAGUGCUGAGAGCACAGAAGGCAGCUGGGUGGGUGCUUAUCCAGCCCCAGUGGGCCACAGAGGGGCUCCCUCCCUGCUAGCCAGGCUUGGGGCUGGGGCUGAGCCUCUACUCGCCCUCCCAGCAGGCCAUAUCUGUGUAGUGCACAGGCGGUCCAGCGACCCCUCAUUCCUGGAUGCUGAGCUCACAAGUGGGUGCCAGCGUCCAUGCCGUGCGUGGAGGAACGGAGGCCUGAGAGGUGUGGUGCCCUGCUGACAGCCCUGCUGCUGGCCAGCGGCAGCACGCGACAAUUCCCACCCCCUUCGCAGCCCACCCCAGCCAGCUGGAAGGUUAAUGGGAAAUAUGAGAGCAAGUUGGCGGGACCUCACAAAGGCAUUUGCAGGAGUCCCUGCUGCGGUUUUGUUCUGUCUUGAAAUCAUUCCCUGUGCACCAGGAUGUACAGAUGGGGACUCGGAUUCCCUUUCGAGACGAGCCUGAUUCCAGGAGUUGUUGAAUGCUUGGAUGGUUGGUUCUAGAAAUUUCUUUCUCCCCACAAAGACACUGCACUCUCUGGGGCCAGGCUCACCUCUUGUUCCCCGGGGAGGGUCACUGGCAAGCCGCUUCCCACCAGUUGUGCUGCACCAGCCCCACAUAGAGCUGGGUGUGCCUUGAACUCAGCAGCGCUGCCUCCAGGAGGGUCCACUUGGUUUUGCUGAGGGCUAUGUAGGUCAUGAUGGCAACACUCACGUCCCUGCAGGCCCACAGUGGGUGGGUGCUGCCGGUGAGGGCCAUUGGUGGAGGAGUGGAGGAGUCACAGCCAACCCACCAGGUUUUCAGCCCCUGGAGGUGGGAGGAGCCCUGGAGCCCCGGAGGUCGAGGCUGCAGUGAGCGGUGAUCGCACCCCUGCACUCCAGCCUAUCUUGGACGCAUCUUUUUCACUGUCAUUUUUCUAACCCUGAAGAUAAGACAAGGGGUUGACCUAGGAGGGCUUGGGAGCCUUGUCCCGCUCUACUUCCUGGGGUCGAGAUGAGACCAAGCUGUAGGAUCUUUGUGACUCUGAAGUUGACUUUGACCUUGCAGCAUUUUGCUGAACUCCAGGGUGAAUUAGGAGGCUGACAGCCCUGUGGUUACAGCCAGUGCUUUGGCCAUGGGUGUGGGCCUGUCCCAGGCUUAGUAGUAGCUGUGGGACCUGGUAGAAUCUGCUUAGCCCUCCAGCGCAGUUUCCUCGUGUCCCAGCUGGAAAUAAUACCUGCCUCCCGGAACUGUUAGGGCAAAGCCCGGAGACCAGAGGCCAGCAUACCACCAGAGCUGGUGGCUUUGGUGAUUGUGGUGGAGAUGGUGGUGGUGAUGAUGGUGAUUGUGAU
Molecule: long non-coding RNA, 1519 nt
Organism: Sapajus apella (tufted capuchin)
Lineage: Eukaryota; Metazoa; Chordata; Mammalia; Primates; Cebidae
Exons: 3
Source: RefSeq, a predicted model, not a curated record